RNAcentral lists this ribosomal RNA (797 nucleotides) under uncultured Methanogenium sp. RNAcentral's name for it is "bacterial SSU rRNA". It matches the Rfam family "Archaeal small subunit ribosomal RNA", at positions 1 to 805 of the family's 1478-position model. The record is from RNAcentral. Lineage: Archaea; Methanobacteriati; Methanobacteriota; Methanomicrobia; Methanomicrobiales; Methanomicrobiaceae.
UUUCCGGUUGAUCCUGCCGGAGGCCACUGCUAUCGGGGUUCGAUUAAGCCAUGCGAGUCGAGAGGGUUUAGACCCUCGGCGGACUGCUCAGUAACACGUGGAUAACCUGCCCUAAGGUGGAGGAUAACCCCGGGAAACUGGGGAUAAUACUCCAUAGAUUAGAGAUACUGGAAUGUUCUUUAGUCAAAAGUUCCGGCGCCUUAGGAUGGAUCUGCGGUCGAUUAGGUUGUUGUUGGGGUAACGGCCCAACAAGCCUGUAAUCGAUACGGGUUGUGGGAGCAAUAGCCCGGAGAUGGAAUCUGAGACAAGAUUCCAGGCCCUACGGGGCGCAGCAGGCGCGAAAACUUUACAAUGCAGGAAACUGUGAUAAGGGAACCCCGAGUGCCCGUAUACGCGGGCUGUCCAGGUGUUUAAAAGUCAUCUGAAGAAAGGGCCGGGCAAGACCGGUGCCAGCCGCCGCGGUAAUACCGGCGGCUCGAGUGGUGGCCACUAUUAUUGGGCUUAAAGCGUCCGUAGCUGGACUGAUAAGUCUCUUGGGAAAUCCGCCGGCUCAACCGGCGGGCGUCUAAGGGAUACUGUUGGUCUAGGGACCGGGAGAGGUGAGAGGUACUCCGGGGGUAGGAGUGAAAUCCUGUAAUCCCCGGGGGACCACCGAUGGCGAAGGCAUCUCACCAGAACGGCUCCGACAGUGAGGGACGAAAGCUGGGGGAGCAAACCGGAUUGGAUACCCGGGUAGUCCCAGCCGUAAACUAUGCGCGUUAGGUGUGCUGGUGACCACGUGUCACCGGGGUGCCGAA